AUUGAACGCUGGCGGCAUGCCUUACACAUGCAAGUCGAACGGCAGCGGACCUUCGGGUGCCGGCGAGUGGCGAACGGGUGAGUAAUAUAUCGGAACGUACCUUUCAGUGGGGGAUAACGUAGCGAAAGUUACGCUAAUACCGCAUAUUCUGUGAGCAGGAAAGCAGGGGAUCGCAAGACCUUGCGCUGAUUGAGCGGCCGAUAUCAGAUUAGCUAGUUGGUGAGGUAAAGGCUCACCAAGGCGACGAUCUGUAGCGGGUCUGAGAGGAUGAUCCGCCACACUGGAACUGAGACACGGUCCAGACUCCUACGGGAGGCAGCAGUGGGGAAUUUUGGACAAUGGGCGCAAGCCUGAUCCAGCCAUGCCGCGUGAGUGAAGAAGGACCUCGGUUG
RNAcentral lists this ribosomal RNA (392 nucleotides) under uncultured bacterium. Its description in RNAcentral is "bacterial SSU rRNA". It matches the Rfam family "Bacterial small subunit ribosomal RNA", at positions 30 to 424 of the family's 1533-position model. The record is from RNAcentral.